GCAUGGAUGAAGAACGCAGCGAAACGCGAUAUGUAGUGUGAAUUGCAGAAUUCAGUGAAUCAUCGAAUCUUUGAACGCACAUUGCGCCUUCCAGUAUCAUGGGAGGCAUGCCUGUCCGAGCGUCGUUUCAACCCUCGAGCCCCCGUGGCCCGGUGUUGGGGACGCUGGCCAGCUACCUGGGCAGCCCCCCUAAAUGCAGUGGCGGUCCCGCAAGUCCCAGCCCUUUGCGUAGUAAUAUCAUUCUCGCUCUGGACGGCUCGCGGGCUUACCAGCCUCGAAACCCCCUACAAAGACCGCCCCGGCGGCAACGGUUGACCUCGGAUCAGGUAGGAAUACCCGCUGAACUUAAGCAUAUCAAUAAGCGGAGGA
Molecule: ribosomal RNA, 369 nt
Filed under: uncultured fungus
Lineage: Eukaryota; Fungi
Description: eukaryotic LSU rRNA
Rfam family: 5.8S ribosomal RNA (bases 1-125)
Source: RNAcentral